Molecule: long non-coding RNA, 1026 nt
Organism: Jatropha curcas
Lineage: Eukaryota; Viridiplantae; Streptophyta; Magnoliopsida; Malpighiales; Euphorbiaceae
Source: RefSeq, a predicted model, not a curated record
CUCCGAAGCGCCCCAAUCUGCUUGUUCCUCAGGAAGUCCGUGCCUUUUCACGCGGCUACUAGUUGAUAUCAUCGUUUCUCUACCGCUGUAUCCAGAAUAGAAAUCGCUUUAUGCAGCGGUGGAGAUUGAUGAUGUCAACUAGUAGCCUGGUUUUCAGGUUCAUGGGCUAUUGGGUGUUUUUGAUUCCGCUAGUUCCAUCUCUUUUGACAAAGAAAUGACAGUCUCAUAGUACUAAAUUCUAUUUAACAAAUAUGAGACUGUCAUUUUUUGUCAAAUCAGACGGAAUUAUCUGCACUUUUUAGUUCUCAAAUGGCUACUGCUGCUGGAACUACAUCUCAUAACCACAUCACGAUGAUCCGCUUGUAAAUCGAAGUUUUCUGUGGUUAUAUAUAUAUUUUUCUUGUUUGCUAUUACUGAUAACCUUGAUCCAGUUUUAUGUUUUGAAGGUUCCGUUUUUUCAAUAUAUCUUAUUAUCUGAAUUUGAGUUUGGUUAUGUUUCCUGGAUCUGUUGAGGCAGAACUGCAAGCUCGGUCUUAAGCUAUGUAGCCAAUGGCUUGCGAAAUUAUUGGAUUUUGGGUAUAUGAUGGAUGGUGAUUACAUCUGUACCAUCUGUAAGUGGAAAAAAAUGAUCAUGAAGUGAUGAUGUUAAACCCAGAGAUGAAUCAGUAUGAUUCUGUUUUGGGGAAAACAAUAUUGAUAUAUUGGAUUUUGAAUCUGCAAAUUUUACAUAUUAUUCCAAUGAUCUUACAUUAUAAACUGCCCCUUAUUUAAAGGGAUUUCAAUCUGUAAUACAAAUCAAAAAAUUCGAAGAGAAAGAACUCAUUUGAGUUUCUGUAACAAUGGAAUGUUCUUUUUUUUCCAAGAUCUGUAUUUAUAUUUGUUGUUUUGAUUCUCUUCUUUUCAGUCAUGAAACUGAUCACCUCUCCAAAAAAUACUUGUCAAACAAAAACAGUAGAUUUAUGCUAUGGCCAAUGUUAUUGUAUCUUUCUCAUAUAUUUUUCAUUUUCCUCAAUCUUGUGAAAAUCA